GAUGAAGAACGCAGCGAAAUGCGAUACGUAAUGUGAAUUGCAGAAUUCAGUGAAUCAUCGAAUCUUUGAACGCAUAUUGCGCUCUCUGGUAUUCCGGAGAGCAUGCUUGUUUGAGUAUCAGUAAACACCUCAACUUCCAUAUCUUUUUUGAAAUGGGAGUUGGACUUGAGUGAUCCCAACGCUUUUCCUCACCGAAAAGUGGCGGGUUACUUGAAAUGCAGGUGCAGCUGGACAUUUCUCUGAGCUAUAAGCAUAUCUAUUUAGUCUGCCUAAAAAACAGAUUAUUACCUUUGCUGCAGCUAACAUAAAGGAGAUUAGUUCUUGUGCUGACUGAUGCAGGAUUCACAAAGACGGCUUCGGCCGACUUUGUAAACUCGAUCUCAAAUCAAGUAAGACUACCCGCUGAACUUAAGCAUAUCAAUAAGCGGAGGA
This 432-nucleotide unclassified non-coding RNA is filed under the name soil metagenome. Its description in RNAcentral is "partial contains 5.8S ribosomal RNA, internal transcribed spacer 2, and large subunit ribosomal RNA". The stretch from base 1 to 120 matches the Rfam family "5.8S ribosomal RNA", at positions 35 to 154 of the family's 154-position model. The record is from RNAcentral.